CCUACGGGGCGCAGCAGUGGGGAAUAUUGGACAAUGGGCGAAAGCCUGAUCCAGCCAUGCCGCGUGUGUGAAGAAGGCCUUCGGGUUGUAAAGCACUUUCAGUGGGGAAGAAAGCCUUGGGGCUAAUACCCUCGAGGAAGGACAUCACCCACAGAAGAAGCACCGGCUAACUCCGUGCCAGCAGCCGCGGUAAUACGGAGGGUGCGAGCGUUAAUCGGAAUUACUGGGCGUAAAGCGCGCGUAGGCGGUCUGAUAAGCCGGUUGUGAAAGCCCCGGGCUCAACCUGGGAACGGCAUCCGGAACUGUCAGGCUAGAGUGCAGGAGAGGAAGGUAGAAUUCCCGGUGUAGCGGUGAAAUGCGUAGAGAUCGGGAGGAAUACCAGUGGCGAAGGCGGCCUUCUGGACUGACACUGACGCUGAGGUGCGAAAGCGUGGGUAGCAAACAGGAUUAGAUACCCUGGUAGUC
RNAcentral lists this ribosomal RNA (465 nucleotides) under Vreelandella stevensii. Its description in RNAcentral is "partial 16S ribosomal RNA". It matches the Rfam family "Bacterial small subunit ribosomal RNA", at positions 338 to 795 of the family's 1533-position model. The record is from RNAcentral. Lineage: Bacteria; Pseudomonadati; Pseudomonadota; Gammaproteobacteria; Oceanospirillales; Halomonadaceae.